Molecule: ribosomal RNA, 460 nt
Filed under: uncultured bacterium
Lineage: Bacteria
Description: partial 16S ribosomal RNA
Rfam family: Bacterial small subunit ribosomal RNA
Source: RNAcentral
CCUACGGGUGGCUGCAGUGAGGAAUAUUGGUCAAUGGGCGCGCGCCUGAACCAGCCAAGUAGCGUGAAGGCUGACUGCCCUGCGGGUUGUCAACUUCUUUUAUAAAGGAAUACAGUGAGGCACGUGUGCCUUUUUGUAUGUACUUUAUGAAUAAGGAUCGGCUAACUCCGUGCCAACAGCCGCGGUAUUACGGAGGAUCCGAGCGUUAUCCGGAUUUAUUGGGUUUAAAGGGAGCGUAGAUGGGUUGUUUAGACAGUUGUGAAAGUUUGCGGUUCAACCGUAACAUUGCUAUUGAUACUGGCAGCCUUGAGUACAGUUGAGGUAGGCGGAAUUCGUGGUGUAGCGGUGAAAUGCUUAGAUAUCACGAAGAACUCCGAUUGCGAAGGCAGCUUACUAAACUGCCACUGACAUUGAUGCUCGAAAGUGUGGGUAUCAAACAGGAUGAGAUACCCCAGUAGUC